GUGCUUGGGCGAGAGUAGUACUAGGAUGGUUGACCCCCUCGGAUGUCCUCAUUUUGCACCCCC
Molecule: ribosomal RNA, 63 nt
Filed under: Mentha arvensis (corn mint)
Lineage: Eukaryota; Viridiplantae; Streptophyta; Magnoliopsida; Lamiales; Lamiaceae
Source: RNAcentral